CCUACGGGAGGCAGCAGUGGGGAAUAUUGGACAAUGGGGGGGACCCUGAUCCAGCGACGCCGCGUGAGUGAAGAAGUAUUUCGGUAUGUAAAGCUCUAUCAGCCGGGAAGCAAAUGACGGUACCUGACUACGAAGCCCCGGCUAACUACGUGCCAGCAGCCGCGGUAAUGCGGAGGGGGCAAGCGUUAUCCGGAUUUAAUGGGUGUAAAGGGAGCGUAGACGGUGCAGCAAGUCUGAUGUGAAAGGUCGGGGCCCAACCCCGGGACUGCCUUUGAAACUGUCGAACUGGAGUACAGGAGAGGUAAGCGGAAUGCCCAGUGUAGCGGUGAAAUGCGUAGAUAUUAGGAGGAACACCAGUGGCGAAGGCGGCUUACUGGACUGUAACUGACGUUGAGGCGCGAAAGCGUGGGGAGCAAACAGGAUUAGAUACCCUAGUAGUC
RNAcentral lists this ribosomal RNA (440 nucleotides) under uncultured bacterium. RNAcentral describes it as "partial 16S ribosomal RNA". It matches the Rfam family "Bacterial small subunit ribosomal RNA", at positions 338 to 795 of the family's 1533-position model. The record is from RNAcentral.